Molecule: ribosomal RNA, 205 nt
Filed under: uncultured bacterium
Lineage: Bacteria
Description: partial 16S ribosomal RNA
Rfam family: Bacterial small subunit ribosomal RNA
Source: RNAcentral
GACGAACGCUGGCGGCGUGCUUAACACAUGCAAGUCGAGCGGUAAGGCCCUUUCGGGGUACGACGAGCGGCGAACGGGUGAGUAACACGUGGGUGACCUGCCCUCAGCUCUGGGAUAAGCCUGGGAAACUGGGUCUAAUACUGGAUAUGACUCCACGGUGCAUGUCGUGGGGCGGAAAGCCUUGUGCGGCUGAGGAUGGGCCCGC